AUAACGAGUUGCGCAACCAGCAGUCACAACAAAUUAUCUCAGGUAUGUCGACCAUGCGAAGACCGGCAAGCGGCGACAGCCGAUCCGCUUAGUCCGUCAGUCGUGUUUGAAAUUCGCAUCAGUUGUUAUCGACAGGCGAAGGAGGAAAGGUUAGGAACAAGCAGUAGAACUGUCAAAAAAUCUAUUGGAAGAACUAAAUCAUAAGCCGCAGCAUGCGUUUUCUUCUGGUCUUGGCGUGCGUGUUUGUUGCAGGAAACGCACAGCAACUACAUGCCACAUGCGCUCUUAGCGGUGCUGGUUUAGUGGGAAAUGUGAGCUUCACCCAAAAUGAACCUGGCGGUGCCGUUACAAUUCGUGGUUCCAUUCUUGGUUUAACUCCUGGUCUGCACGGAUUUCACGUUCAUGAAAAAGGGGACUUGACUGGAGGAUGUGCUAGUGCUGGUGGACAUUUUAACCCUGAUAUGUUAACCCAUGGUGCUCCCGAAGACCCAGUCCGUCACGCUGGAGAUUUCGGAAACAUCGCUGCUGACGAACGCGGUGAAGCUCAUUUCGAAUUUGUCGACCAUGUGAUCUCCCUGCACGGUGGCCCUCGCUGCGUCAUAGGCCGCGCGGUGGUCGUGCACUCAGGACAAGAUGACUUGGGCCGCGGCGGACACGAACUGAGUCUCAAGACCGGUAACGCCGGCGGCCGGGCUGGCUGCGGAGUCAUCGGCAUUGCGUAAGGGACUUAUUAUCGAGAUUCUAAGAGAAAUUAAGUGUUAAUAACAUAUGACAAACAACUAUGCCGAACACUGGACAUUCUACCUAACUGUCCAUUCCAUGUAUUUUGAGCAAAAUUUGAUCAACAAUUAAGCCGAUGUGUUAAAUUCUCUCUUAUAAAUGCUAUGUUUUCUUUGCUUUUAUUUUUAUAUUAUAUUU
Ctenocephalides felis (cat flea) is the source of this 918-nucleotide RNA transcript. It is a transcript of the gene named superoxide dismutase [Cu-Zn], chloroplastic-like, with no coding region annotated. The transcript is spliced from 5 exons. The record is from RefSeq and is a predicted model, not a curated record. Lineage: Eukaryota; Metazoa; Arthropoda; Insecta; Siphonaptera; Pulicidae.